This 1306-nucleotide ribosomal RNA is filed under the name uncultured bacterium. RNAcentral's name for it is "bacterial SSU rRNA". It matches the Rfam family "Bacterial small subunit ribosomal RNA", at positions 28 to 1381 of the family's 1533-position model. The record is from RNAcentral.
AACGUACGCUGGCGGCACGCCUAACACAUGCAAGUCGAACGAAGUAGCAAUACUUAGUGGCAGACGGGUGAGUAACAUGUGGGUAUCUGCCCUUUGGCCUGGAAUAACACGAGGAAACUUGUGCUAAUACCGGAUAAGUCUUUACGGAGAAAGCUUUAUGCACCAUUGGAUGAGCCCGCACUUGAUUAGUUUGUUGGUGGGGUAAUGGCCUACCAAGACUGUGAUCAAUAGCUGAUUUGAGAGGAUGAUCAGCCACAUUGGGACUGAGACACGGCCCAAACUCCUACGGGAGGCAGCAGUGGGGAAUCUUGCACAAUGGAGGAAACUCUGAUGCAGCGAUGCCGCGUGAGUGAAGGAGGCCUUUGGGUUGUAAAGCUCUUUCGUCGGGGAAGAAAAUGACUGUACCCGAAUAAGAAGGUCCGGCUAACUUCGUGCCAGCAGCCGCGGUAAUACGAAGGGACCUAGCGUAGUUCGGAAUUACUGGGCUUAAAGAGUUCGUAGGUGGUUGAAAAAGUUAGUGGUGAAAUCCCAGAGCUUAACUCUGGAACUGCCAUUAAAACUUUUCAGCUAGAGUAUGAUAGAGGAAAGCAGAAUUUCUAGUGUAGAGGUGAAAUUCGUAGAUAUUAGAAAGAAUACCAAUUGCGAAGGCAGCUUUCUGGAUCAUUACUGACACUGAGGAACGAAAGCAUGGGUAGCGAAGAGGAUUAGAUACCCUCGUAGUCCAUGCCGUAAACGAUGUGUGUUAGACGUUGGAAAUUUAUUUUCAGUGUCGCAGCGAAAGCGAUAAACACACCGCCUGGGGAGUACGACCGCAAGGUUAAAACUCAAAUGAAUUGACGGGGACCCGCACAAGUAGUGGAGCAUGUGGUUUAAUUCGAAGAUACGCGCAGAACCUUACCAACACUUGACAUGUUCGUCGCGACUCUAAGAGAUUAGAGUUUUCGGUUCGGCCGGACGAAACACAGGUGCUGCAUGGCUGUCGUCAGCUCGUGUCGUGAGAUGUUGGGUUAAGUCCCGCAACGAGCGCAACCCUCACUUUUAGUUGCCAUCAUUAAGUUGGGCACUCUGAAAGAACUGCCAGUGAUAAGCUGGAGGAAGGUGGGGAUGACGUCAAGUCCUCAUGGCCCUUACGUGUUGGGCUACACACGUGCUACAAUGGUAUCUACAACAGGAAGCAAGACUGCGAGGUCAAGCAAAUCCUUAAAAGAUACCUCAGUUCGGAUUGCACUCUGCAACUCGAGUGCAUGAAGCUGGAAUUACUAGUAAUCGUGGAUCAGCGUGCCACGGUGAAUGCGUUCCCGGGUCU